CAGGGGGACAACCCGCCGAAAGGCGGGCUAAACCCGCGUACAUGCCACCGGGGCAUCCCGGAGGCAGGAAAGGCUUCGGCCGGACAGGGAUGGGCAUGCGGCGCAUUAGGCAGUAGGCGGGGUAACGGCCCACCUAACCGACGAUGCGUAGGGGUUCUGAGAGGAAGGUCCCCCACACUGGUACUGAGACACGGACCAGACUCCUACGGGAGGCAGCAGUGAGGAAUAUUGGUCAAUGGUCGGGAGACUGAACCAGCCAAGCCGCGUGAGGGAGGAAGGUACAGAGUAUCGUAAACCUCUUUUGUCAGGGAACAAAGACUGGGACGCGUCCCCGGAUGAGUGUACCUGAAGAAAAAGCAUCGGCUAACUCCGUGCCAGCAGCCGCGGUAAUACGGAGGAUGCGAGCGUUAUCCGGAUUUAUUGGGUUUAAAGGGUGCGCAGGCGGUCUGUUAAGUCAGCGGUCAAAGCCCGGGGCUCAACCCCGGCCCGCCGUUGAAACUGGCAGUCUCGAGUUGGAGAGAAGUAUGCGGAAUGCGUGGUGUAGCGGUGAAAUGCAUAGAUAUCGCGCAGAACUCCGAUUGCGAAGGCAGCAUGCCGGCUCCACACUGACGCUGAGGCACGAAAGCGUGGGUAUCGAACAGGAUUAGAUACCCUGGUAGUCCACGCAGUAAACGAUGAAUACUGGCUGUCCGGGGGGACUGACCCCUGGGUGGCGAAG
RNAcentral lists this ribosomal RNA (718 nucleotides) under uncultured bacterium. RNAcentral describes it as "bacterial SSU rRNA". It matches the Rfam family "Bacterial small subunit ribosomal RNA", at positions 136 to 851 of the family's 1533-position model. The record is from RNAcentral.